UGCAGUCGAGCGGCAAGGGCAGCAAUGCCCCUAGAGCGGCGGACUGGUGAGUAACACGUGGGUGAUCUACCUCGGGGUUGGGGAUAGCCAUUAGAAAUAGUGGGUAAUACCGAAUACGCUGCCUUGGCUACGGCCAGGGCAGGAAAGGCGCUACGGCGCCGACCUGAGAUGAGCCCGCGCCCCAUUAGCUAGUUGGUGAGGUAACGGCCCACCAAGGCUAUGAUGGGUAGGCGGCCUGAGAGGGUGUACGCCCACACUGGGACUGAGAUACGGCCCAGACUCCUACGGGAGGCAGCAGCUAAGAAUAUUCCGCAAUGGACGAAAGUCUGACGGAGCGACGCCGCGUGGAUGAUGAAGGCCGGAAGGUUGUAAAAUCCUUUUGUCGGGGAAGAAUAACCAUGGGAGGGAAUGCCCGUGGGAUGACAUGAACCGGCGAAUAAGCCCCGGCUAACUACGUGCCAGCAGCCGCGGUAACACGUAGGGGGCGAGCGUUGUUCGGAAUUACUGGGCGUAAAGGGCAUGUAGGCGGUUUUGUAAGCCUGACGUGAAAUACCAUGGCUCAACCAUGGCACUGUGUUGGGAACUGCGAGACUUGAAUCAUGGAGAGGGAGCUGGAAUUCCAGGUGUAGGGGUGAAAUCUGUAGAUAUCUGGAAGAACACCAGUGGCGA
This 669-nucleotide ribosomal RNA is filed under the name uncultured bacterium. RNAcentral describes it as "bacterial SSU rRNA". It matches the Rfam family "Bacterial small subunit ribosomal RNA", at positions 56 to 718 of the family's 1533-position model. The record is from RNAcentral.